Molecule: ribosomal RNA, 161 nt
Filed under: Begonia formosana
Lineage: Eukaryota; Viridiplantae; Streptophyta; Magnoliopsida; Cucurbitales; Begoniaceae
Description: 5.8S ribosomal RNA
Rfam family: 5.8S ribosomal RNA
About the family: 5.8S ribosomal RNA (5.8S rRNA) is a component of the large subunit of the eukaryotic ribosome.
Source: RNAcentral
CUCGACAAGGGGAUAUCUCGGCUCUCGCAUUCGAUGAAGAACCGUAAGUCGAAAUGCUAUACUUGGGUGGUGAAUUUACAGAAUCCUUGAACCUUUGAGUUUUUGACCGCAAGUUGCGCCCAAAGCCUUCUGGCCAAGGGCACGUGUUCUUAGGGGUCACG